RNAcentral lists this non-coding RNA (30 nucleotides) under Cricetulus griseus (Chinese hamster). The record is from RNAcentral. Lineage: Eukaryota; Metazoa; Chordata; Mammalia; Rodentia; Cricetidae.
UUUACAUCGUGACAGAGUACAUGAGCAAGG